This 308-nucleotide ribosomal RNA is filed under the name uncultured bacterium. RNAcentral's name for it is "partial 16S ribosomal RNA". It matches the Rfam family "Bacterial small subunit ribosomal RNA", at positions 505 to 809 of the family's 1533-position model. The record is from RNAcentral.
GAGACAGCAGUAGCCGCGGUAAUACAGAGGGUGCGAGCGUUAAUCGGAUUUACUGGGCGUAAAGCGUGCGUAGGCGGCUUCUUAAGUCGGAUGUGAAAUCCCUGAGCUUAACUUAGGAAUUGCAUUCGAUACUGGGAAGCUAGAGUAUGGGAGAGGAUGGUAGAAUUCCAGGUGUAGCGGUGAAAUGCGUAGAGAUCUGGAGGAAUACCGAUGGCGAAGGCAGCCAUCUGGCCUAAUACUGACGCUGAGGUACGAAAGCAUGGGGAGCAAACAGGAUUAGAUACCCGUGUAGUCCCUGUCUCUUAUAA